Molecule: ribosomal RNA, 253 nt
Filed under: uncultured bacterium
Lineage: Bacteria
Description: partial 16S ribosomal RNA
Rfam family: Bacterial small subunit ribosomal RNA
Source: RNAcentral
UACGUAGGGGGCAAGCGUUGUCCGGAUUUAUUGGGCGUAAAGAGCGUGUAGGCGGCUAGGUAGGUCCGUUGUGAAAACUCGAGGCUCAACCUCGAGCUGUCGAUGGAAACCAUCUGGCUAGAGUCCGGAAGAGGAGAGUGGAAUUCCUGGUGUAGCGGUGAAAUGCGCAGAUAUCAGGAAGAACACCCGUGGCGAAGGCGGCUCUCUGGUACGUGACUGACGCUGAGACGCGAAAGCGUGGGGAGCGAUCCGG